Molecule: ribosomal RNA, 253 nt
Filed under: uncultured bacterium
Lineage: Bacteria
Description: partial 16S ribosomal RNA
Rfam family: Bacterial small subunit ribosomal RNA
Source: RNAcentral
UACGUAGGGGGCAAGCGUUGUCCGGAUUUAUUGGGCAUAAAGAGCGUGUAGGCGGCCAGGUAGGUCCGUUGUGAAAACUCGAGGCUCAACCUCGAGACGUCGGCGGAAACCCUCUGGCUAGAGUCCGGAAGAGGAGAGUGGAAUUCCUGGUGUAGCGGUGAAAUGCGCAGAUAUCAGGAAGAACACCCGUGGCGAAGGCGGCUCUCUGGGACGGUACUGACGCUGAGACGCGAAAGCGUGGGGAGCAAACAGG